This 779-nucleotide ribosomal RNA is filed under the name uncultured euryarchaeote. Its description in RNAcentral is "bacterial SSU rRNA". It matches the Rfam family "Archaeal small subunit ribosomal RNA", at positions 89 to 866 of the family's 1478-position model. Lineage: Archaea; Methanobacteriati; Methanobacteriota. The record is from RNAcentral.
CUCAGUAACACGUGGAUAAUCUGACCUGGGGUGGGGGAUAACCUCUGCGAAAGUGAGAAUAAUACCCCAUAGGUUGGGAAUUGCUGGAACGCAUCCCAGCUCAAAUGAGUUUAUCGCCCCAGGAUGAGUCUGCGGCCUAUCAGGUUGUAGUGGGUGUAAUAUACCUACUAGCCUUCGACGGGUACGGGCCUUGGGAGAGGUAGCCCGGAGAUGGAUUCUGAGACAUGAAUCCAGGCCCUACGGGGCGCAGCAGGCGCGAAAACUUCACAAUGCGGGAAACCGCGAUGAGGGGAUUCCAAGUGCGUGCGCUAAGCGUACGCUUUUCUUUAGUCUAGAAAGCUUGAGGAAUAAGGGCUGGGUAAGACCGGUGCCAGCCGCCGCGGUAACACCGGCAGCCCGAGUGGUGGUCGCUUUUAUUGGGCCUAAAGCGUCCGUAGCCGGCUCGGAAAGUCCUUGGGUAAAUUAUGCGGCUUAACCGUAUGAAUUCCAGGGAUACUACCGGGCUUGGGACCGGAGAGAGGCUAGAGGUACUCACGGGGUAGGGGUAAAAUCCAGUAAUCCCGUGGGGACCACCAGUGGCGAAGGCGUCUAGCUAGAACGGCUCCGACGGUAAGGGACGAAGCCCAGGGGCACAAACCGGAUUAGAUACCCGGGUAGUCCUGGGUGUAAACGCUGCGGGCUUGGUGUUGGAGGUCCUGCUAGGGCGUUCAGUGCCGUAGAGAAGUUGUUAAGCCCGCCGCCUGGGGAGUACGGUCGCAAGGCUGAAACUUAAAGGAAUU